GGUAUAGCUCAAAUGGUAGAGCACAUGCUUAGCAUGCAUUAGGUCCUGGGCUGAAUCCCCAGUACC
Molecule: transfer RNA, 66 nt
Filed under: Camelus bactrianus (Bactrian camel)
Lineage: Eukaryota; Metazoa; Chordata; Mammalia; Artiodactyla; Camelidae
Also listed under: 1 other name
Rfam family: tRNA
About the family: Transfer RNA (tRNA) molecules are approximately 80 nucleotides in length.
Source: Rfam by way of RNAcentral